This 229-nucleotide unclassified non-coding RNA is filed under the name Hevea brasiliensis (rubber tree). The record is from RNAcentral. Lineage: Eukaryota; Viridiplantae; Streptophyta; Magnoliopsida; Malpighiales; Euphorbiaceae.
GCUGCCUGUUUGGAACUUCACCUCCUUUCAUGGUGUUUCGACUAGUCAUUCCUCUGUGCAAGGCUAUUCAUAAGUCACAAAUAACUUGUUUUAUCAGGAUACAUUUGAGAAACACUUACUCCUCUAAAAUUUGCCUCUAUUGUGGAUAAUUGUGAUGAAGUAACUCAAUUCCAACUCCAUAGGCAUAUCUAAAUUUUCUAUUUUCACUAAUGUAACAUACACUUUUCAA